GACGCGGAGGCCAGCUCACCGGUAGUGGAACAGAAAGAAAAUGAAUGGAUAAAAUCCUCUGUCUAAAUGGCUCUGUUCACAUCCGAGGAACAAGAAAGAAUUAGAAGACAUGCUAUUCGGUCAGUGCUGGGGGGAACUAAGGGGCUUGUUGACAACCAAGAACAACAGGCCCAAAAUGAAGCACAACUCCCCAUCUCCCGUCCCAAAUGGGAAUCGAAUUCCACCAGAGGUAAGGAAGCUCUUCGCAACUACCGUCAGCAUCUCCUGGCCAGCCUUAGGGGAGCCACUCACAAGCCUACCAAUUUGAGCAAGGUAAGCGAGGUCCUACAAGGGCCUGAGGAAUCCCCCUCUGCCUUCCUGGAGUGUUUACUGGAGGUGUACCGCACAUACACUCCAAUUGACCCAGACGCUCCAGCGAACAGGCAGGCAAUUAAUCUGGCUUUUGUAACUCAGUUGGCCCCCAGAUAUUCAAAAAAAAUUACAGAGAAUUGAGGGCUUUGAAGGAGAGAAUAGGGAAAAAUUGAUAAGUGUAGCAAUGAAGGUGUUCA
Molecule: long non-coding RNA, 548 nt
Organism: Fukomys damarensis (Damara mole-rat)
Lineage: Eukaryota; Metazoa; Chordata; Mammalia; Rodentia; Bathyergidae
Exons: 2
Source: RefSeq, a predicted model, not a curated record